This 1083-nucleotide long non-coding RNA is filed under the name Oncorhynchus kisutch (coho salmon). Its description in RNAcentral is "lncRNA (ENSOKIG00005023016.1)". Lineage: Eukaryota; Metazoa; Chordata; Actinopteri; Salmoniformes; Salmonidae. The record is from RNAcentral.
CGUUGCCUAGUCUACGCCAUUUUACCUGCUGUUGUUGUGCUAGCUGAUUAGCUGUUGUCUCACCUACUGUUUUAGCUAGCUUUCCCAAUUCAACACCUGUGAUUACUGUAUGCCUCGCUGUAUGUCUCUCUCAAAUGUCAAUAUGCCUUGUAUACUGUUGUUCAGGUUAGUUAUCAUUGUUUUAGUUCACAAUGGAGCCCCUAGUUCCACUCUUUAUACCCCUGAUAACUCCUUUGUCCCACCUCCCACACAUGCGGUGACCUCACCCAUUACUACCAGCAUGUCCAGAGAUACAACCUCUCUCAUCAUCACCCAGUGCCUGGGCUUACCUCCGCUGUACCCGCACCCCACCAUACCCCUGUCUGCGCAUUAUGCCCUGAAUAUAUUCUACCAUGCCCAGAAACCUGCUCCUCUUAUUCUCUGUCCCCAACGCUCUAGGCGACCAGUUUUGAUAGCCUUUAGCCGCACCCUCAUACUACUCCUUCUCUGUUCCGCGGGUGAUGUGGAGGUAAACCCAGGCCCUGCAUGUCCCCAGGCACCCUCAUUUGUUGACUUCUGUGAUCGAAAAAGCCUUGGUUUCAUGCAUGUCAACAUCAGAAGCCUCCUCCCUAAGUUUGUUUUACUCACUGCUUUAGCACACUCUGCUAACCCUGAUGUCCUUGCUGUGUCUGAAUCCUGGCUCAGGAAGGCCACCAAAAAUUCAGAGAUUUCCAUACCCAACUAUAACAUCUUCCGUCAAGAUAGAACUGCCAAAGGGGGAGGAGUUGCAGUGUACUGCAGAGAUAGCCUGCAAAGUAAUGUCAUACUUUCCAGGUCCAUACCCAAACAGUUCGAACUACUAAUUUUGAAAAUUACUCUCUCCAGAAAUAAGUCACUCACGGUUGCCGCCUGCUACCGACCCCCCUCAGCUCCCAGCUGUGCCCUGGACACCAUUUGUGAAUUGAUCGCCCCCCAUCUAGCUUCAGAGUUUGUUCUGUUAGGUGACCUAAACUGGGAUAUGCUUAACACCCCGCCAGUCCUACAAUCUAAGCUAGAUGCCCUCAAUCUCACACAAAUCAUCAAGGAACCCACCAGGUACAACCC